GGAGGGGUGCCGGAGUGGACUAACGGGACGGCCUGGAGAGCCGUGGCCCCUUUUCGGGGUCUCGUGGGUUCGAAUCCCACCCCCUCCG
Molecule: transfer RNA, 88 nt
Filed under: Pseudomonadota bacterium
Lineage: Bacteria; Pseudomonadati; Pseudomonadota
Also listed under: 2 other names
Description: tRNA-Ser
Rfam family: tRNA
About the family: Transfer RNA (tRNA) molecules are approximately 80 nucleotides in length. Their secondary structure includes four short double-helical elements and three loops (D, anti-codon, and T loops). Further hydrogen bonds mediate the characteristic L-shaped molecular structure. tRNAs have two regions of fundamental functional importance: the anti-codon, which is responsible for specific mRNA codon recognition, and the 3' end, to which the tRNAs corresponding amino acid is attached (by aminoacyl-tRNA synthetases). tRNAs cope with the degeneracy of the genetic code in two manners: having more than one tRNA (with a specific anti-codon) for a particular amino acid; and 'wobble' base-pairing, i.e. permitting non-standard base-pairing at the 3rd anti-codon position.
Source: RNAcentral